UACGGAAGGCAGCAGUGGGGAAUAUUGCACAAUGGGCGCAAGCCUGAUGCAGCCAUGCCGCGUGUAUGAAGAAGGCCUUCGGGUUGUAAAGUACUUUCAGUCGUGAGGAAGGUGUUAAGGUUAAUAACCUUAGCAAUUGACGUUAGCGACAGAAGAAGCACCGGCUAACUCCGUGCCAGCAGCCGCGGUAAUACGGAGGGUGCGAGCGUUAAUCGGAAUUACUGGGCGUAAAGGGCACGCAGGCGGUUAAUUAAGUUGGAUGUGAAAUCCCCGGGCUUAACCUGGGAAUGGCAUUCAAGACUGGUUAGCUAGAGUCUUGUAGAGGGGGUAGAAUUCCAUGUGUAGCGGUGAAAUGCGUAGAGAUGUGGAGGAAUACCGGUGGCGAAGGCGGCCCCUGGGACAAAGACUGACGCUCAUGUGCGAAAGCGUGGGGAGCGAAACAGGGUUAGAUACC
This 454-nucleotide ribosomal RNA is filed under the name uncultured bacterium. RNAcentral describes it as "bacterial SSU rRNA". It matches the Rfam family "Bacterial small subunit ribosomal RNA", at positions 340 to 786 of the family's 1533-position model. The record is from RNAcentral.